This 254-nucleotide ribosomal RNA is filed under the name uncultured bacterium. RNAcentral's name for it is "partial 16S ribosomal RNA". It matches the Rfam family "Bacterial small subunit ribosomal RNA", at positions 524 to 776 of the family's 1533-position model. The record is from RNAcentral.
UACGUAGGAAGCAAGCGUUGUCCGGAAUCAUUGGGCGUAAAGCGCGCGUAGGUGGCUUCGUAAGUCCGUUGUGAAAGUCAAAGGCUCAACCUUUGAAAGCCGAUGGAUACUGUGAAGCUAGAGUACGGAAGAGGCGAGUGGAAUUCCUGGUGUAGCGGUGGAAUGCGCAGAUAUCAGGAGGAACACCAAUAGCGAAGGCAGCUCGCUGGGACGUUACUGACACUGGAGGCGCGAAAGCGUGGGGAGCGAACAGG